RNAcentral lists this ribosomal RNA (438 nucleotides) under uncultured bacterium. Its description in RNAcentral is "bacterial SSU rRNA". It matches the Rfam family "Bacterial small subunit ribosomal RNA", at positions 339 to 791 of the family's 1533-position model. The record is from RNAcentral.
UUACGGGAGGCAGCAGUGGGGAAUUUUCCGCAAUGGGCGAAAGCCUGACGGAGCAAUACCGCGUGAGGGAUGACGGCCUAUGGGUUGUAAACCUCUUUUUUCAGGGAGGAAUCAAUGACGUGUACCUGAAGAAUAAGCAUCGGCUAACUCCGUGCCAGCAGCCGCGGUAAGACGGAGGAUGCAAGUGUUAUCCGGAAUCACUGGGCGUAAAGCGUCUGUAGGUGGUCAAAUAAGUCAACUGUUAAAUCUUGAGGCUCAACCUCAAAAUCGCAGUCGAAACUAUUCGACUAGAGUAUAGUAGGGGUAAAGGGAAUUUCCAGUGGAGCGGUGAAAUGCGUAGAGAUUGGAAAGAACACCGAUGGCGAAGGCACUUUACUGGGCUAUUACUAACACUGAGAGACGAAAGCUAGGGUAGCAAAUGGGAUUAGAUACCCCGGU